This 253-nucleotide ribosomal RNA is filed under the name uncultured bacterium. Its description in RNAcentral is "partial 16S ribosomal RNA". It matches the Rfam family "Bacterial small subunit ribosomal RNA", at positions 524 to 776 of the family's 1533-position model. The record is from RNAcentral.
UACGGGGGGGGCAAGCGUUGUUCGGAAUUACUGGGCGUAAAGGGUUUGUAGGUGGCCAACUAAGUCAGACGUGAAAUCCCUCAGCUUAACUGGGGAACUGCGUCUGAUACUGGAUGGCUUGGAUCCGGGAGAGGGAUGCGGAAUUCCAGGUGUAGCGGUGAAAUGCGUAGAUAUCUGGAGGAACACCGGUGGCGAAGGCGGCAUCCUGGACCGGUAUUGACGCUGAGGAGCGAAAGCCAGGGGAGCAAACGGG